Molecule: non-coding RNA, 121 nt
Organism: Glycine soja
Lineage: Eukaryota; Viridiplantae; Streptophyta; Magnoliopsida; Fabales; Fabaceae
Source: Rfam
UUAUACAUGAAUAUUGAUUGUCAUGUGUCACAUUCUGAUUGGAUGUUGACUCUAUGAACGAUGAAAAUGUAUUGUUGUUGUCAACGUCCAAUUAGAACGCAACACGUGACAGUCAUCGUCG